CCCUUAGAUGUUCUGGGCCGCACGCGCGCUACACUGACGAAUGCAACGAGCUUAUAACCUUGGCCGAAAGGUCUGGGUAAUCUCCAAAUUUCGUCGUGAUGGGGAUAGAUUAUUGCAAUUAUUAAUCUUCAACGAGGAAUGCCUAGUAAGCACAAGUCAUCAGCUUGCGUUGAUUACGUCCCUGCCCUUUGUACACACCGCCCGUCGCUCCUACCGAUUGAAUGGUCCGGUGAAGCGUUCGGACCGUGGCCUUUGGACGGUUCGCCGUCUGUUGGCUGCGGGAAGUUCGUUAAACCUUAUCAUUUAGAGGAAGGAGAANUCGUANCA
This 327-nucleotide ribosomal RNA is filed under the name uncultured eukaryote. RNAcentral's name for it is "partial 18S ribosomal RNA". It matches the Rfam family "Eukaryotic small subunit ribosomal RNA", at positions 1470 to 1796 of the family's 1831-position model. The record is from RNAcentral.